This 253-nucleotide ribosomal RNA is filed under the name uncultured prokaryote. RNAcentral's name for it is "partial 16S ribosomal RNA". It matches the Rfam family "Bacterial small subunit ribosomal RNA", at positions 524 to 776 of the family's 1533-position model. The record is from RNAcentral.
UACAGAGACUGCGAGCGUUAUUCGGAUUCACUGGGCGUAAAGGGUGCGCAGGCGGCCGAGUGUGUGAGGCGUGAAAGCCCGGGGCUUAACCCCGGAAUUGCACCUCAAACUACACGGCUAGAGCAUUGGAGAGGGUGGCAGAAUUCAUGGUGUAGCAGUGAAAUGCGUAGAUAUCAUGAGGAAUACCAGAGGCGAAGGCGGCUACCUGGACAAUUGCUGACGCUCAGGCACGAAAGCGUGGGGAGCAGAAGGG